CGCGCAGGCGGUCGUUCAAGUCGAGUGUGAAAGCCCCCGGCUCAACCUGGGGAGGGUCACUCGAUACUGAUCGACUCGAAGGCAGAAGAGGAGCGGAAUUCCCGGUGUAGUGGUGAAAUGCGUAGAUAUCGGGAGGAACACCAGUGGCGAAGGCGGCUUUCUGGUCUGCUCUUGACGCUGAGGCGCGAAAGCUAGGUAGCAAACG
Molecule: ribosomal RNA, 205 nt
Filed under: uncultured bacterium
Lineage: Bacteria
Description: partial 16S ribosomal RNA
Rfam family: Bacterial small subunit ribosomal RNA
Source: RNAcentral